Molecule: ribosomal RNA, 253 nt
Filed under: uncultured bacterium
Lineage: Bacteria
Description: partial 16S ribosomal RNA
Rfam family: Bacterial small subunit ribosomal RNA
Source: RNAcentral
UACGUAGGGUGCGAGCGUUGCUCGGAAUUACUGGGCGUAAAGAGUGCGCAGGCGGCUUUGUGCGUCCGCUGUGAAAUCCCCGGGCUUAACCUGGGAAUGGCAUUUGGGACUGCAAGGCUUGAGUGCGGCAGAGGAGACUGGAAUUCCUGGUGUAGCAGUGAAAUGCGUAGAUAUCAGGAGGAACACCGAUGGCGAAGGCAGUUCUCUGGGCUGACACUGACGCUCAUGCACGAAAGCGUGGGGAGCAAACAGG